UACGAAGGGGGCUAGCGUUGCUCGGAAUCACUGGGCGUAAAGGGCACGUAGGCGGGUUGCUAAGUCAGGGGUGAAAUCCUGGAGCUCAACUCCAGAACUGCCUUUGAUACUGGGGAUCUCGAGUCCGGGAGAGGUGAGUGGAACUGCGAGUGUAGAGGUGAAAUUCGUAGAUAUUCGCAAGAACACCAGUGGCGAAGGCGGCUCACUGGCCCGGUACUGACGCUGAGGCGCGAAAGCGUGGGGAGCAAACAGG
RNAcentral lists this ribosomal RNA (253 nucleotides) under uncultured bacterium. RNAcentral describes it as "partial 16S ribosomal RNA". It matches the Rfam family "Bacterial small subunit ribosomal RNA", at positions 524 to 776 of the family's 1533-position model. The record is from RNAcentral.